RNAcentral lists this small RNA (89 nucleotides) under Loa loa (African eye worm). RNAcentral's name for it is "sL1 RNA". Lineage: Eukaryota; Metazoa; Nematoda; Chromadorea; Rhabditida; Onchocercidae. The record is from RNAcentral.
GUUAAUAUCAUUUUUCUUUGCAAUGAUAUAUUCCUGUUACUGUGGCAUAAAGUAAAAUUUUGGAACGUCCUGCAAUUUUGUGGGACAAC